CACAGAGUUUGGUUUUACCAAGCAAGCAGAAGGGGCUCUUCUAAGAGAGCCAGGGCCAUUAGGCUUGCAGGUGGCUCUGAGAUCCUUUCCCUAGAGGAGUUAGGGGACUUGGACAGCGCGCUAAGCCUCCUGGAGGCGGAGGGACGCCUUGCGCCACUCCUACUGUCAGGCAGGGUUGUUUCUGUUUUCAAAAACUUUCAGUAUGCGCUGGCAGCUUCUCUCAGUUCCAUCAAGAUCGCAGAGCUAUCUAGGGCCCUACUGUGACGGUAUUCCAAACUCUCGCUGCAAGAGGGCAAGGUGACGAUUAGGUUGGAUAGAUGCUGACGACCAAGUUCUCGGUCGGGCUUCAGGCGGAGAAGCCAGAUGAGGUCUGAAUGCUGCAGCUCGAUGUUCCGGGCUCCGCGGCGGCUCUUCGCUUCCCUGGGAUUGCUGCUGCGGCCCCGAAGGAGACACGAAGGUGGCGGGAGCGAGGCGGCGUCCCGGCGUCGCUCCGUCUCCCUGCCGCCCUGGGCGACGCUGUGACCGCUGAAGGAUGUCAGGAGCCGAGCCAGCGAGGACCUGACGCGCAGCGCUGAGCUGGCGCAGCUUUCUGGGGCCGGGGGAGCCUCAGUGAGUGCGAAGCCCGCGCCCAGCGUGUCCUCCCGGCGCCGUGGAUUCUCGGCUUCCCCAGGAGACAGCCGAAGGCCUGCGGACGACCCCCAACCCACUCUCAAACCCCUGGAUAGGCGAUGGCAGCAAGAUAUUCUGGACUUAACCCCGAGCUAGGUUGGAGUAUGAAGAUUGGCAUAUUGUUGGGUCAGACAGCCCCACGUGAAACCCACCUACUGAGAUUGCAGCCCGGAAAGCGGAACUGCACUUUUUACCCCCACCCCUGGGAGGGGGUUCGCUGUGAAUUCCAUCAGCUUGUAUGAAGUAGAGAACCUUCAGAGGCGGGGAUAUUUUGCCCUAAAUUCGAAUUAAGAGCUAAAGGAAAGAGUAUACUCAGGCAGCUUGUACUGUGUUAUUUACAAUGGAAUUUGGAAGGAUGUCUGAAUUGAGAUGUAGUGGGAAGAGCCAAGGACUGAGAAUUGGCCAAUUUGGGUUCCUUAUACCCAGUCCUAAAGCCUGAUAGCCUUGAGGUCUUGAGCCGUCAAGAAAUGUCCUAGAAAUUUAGUUCCCUGUGUGAGGUGAGGGAGCAUCCUCCUGCUCUGCCUUUCUGGGGAGUUGAAAGAUAAAUAGACUGGAGGGAGAGAGAGUAUUUGAAAGUAUGAAGUGUGGUCUCUACAAGUGAGGGCAUCACCACAUUCUGCCCACAUCCCUCUCCUCCAGGCUUCCAACACAACCUUGUCUUGAGAAAGGUUAAAGGCAAUGACUUCUUGGUAACCCUGGGGUUUUCAUAAUUACCUAAGUGUGAGAGAGCAUGUUUCUCCAUGGCUUCAAGUUCAAGUAUGAAAAUACUUCCACCUGAAACUGCUCAUCACUGUGUGACAUCAGAAGACAGGUUUUCCUCAACUUCCUUAGGAACUGUACCAAGUAGGUGAGAUGUUAGGAUCCUUGCUGAAAAUUGAGGGUCACGGACCCUGAUGUUUAAAUAUGAUUAGAUAUAAUCUUCAUGUAACAAUUAAACUCUGAACAUGUUGGCUUUUUGAGCUCUUGUUUUCUGACACAGGGAAAAUUCUAUCAGAGGCAAGGAGAAACAUUCAAGGGUAAGCAUUUUCAUUAGUCUUUAGGAGAAGAUAAGAGAAGAGCUAAGAAUGAACACAUUGCUUGCAGACACACCCUACAACCCCCUACGCCCUACCCCACCCCAAAAUUGGAAGAUGCUCAGAUAGUAGUCCUGACAAAUUUGAAUAGUUUCCUUUGUUACUAAAUCUAGAUUAAUUUUUCUAAAUGGAAAGAAGAAAUUCUCAUGGUUGGUUGUGUUAUCAUUAAAAUUUAAGCUUUUCUUCCUAAGUAUGUGUGUUCUGCCUUCCAGAGAUAAUAAAUUUAAGCAAUCCUAGUGCCUUUAAGUUUUAUUGUGAUUUUUCAUGGUACCUAAUCAGAUCUUUGAUUUUUCUAUUGUAAUUUAAAAGAGUUAAAAGAUGACUCAGUCAAGAAGUUGAGAAAUAAAACUAGGCCUCCUUAGUUGUGCUCUUAACACUAAACUUGUAUGUAAGUCUUUAUGCAAUAAUAAUGCUGGUGAUAUUAAAGUUAACUUUUAUAGAACAUUGUGUACCAGACUGAGAUAUGCAUGCUACAGUUCAUUUGGUUCUCACAAUAAUUUUAUAACACUUGAAGCACAGAGAGGUUAAGUGCUUAAGGUCACAUAGCUAAUGCAUGAUUUAUCUAGAUUGGCAUAAAACUGUUUUUAUUAUUUUUUGUGUGUCUGGAGCUCAAACCCAGGGUCUUGUGCAUGCCAGGCAAGCACUGUAUCACUAAGAUACCCCUAGCUCUUGGCCCUUGACAUAAAAUUAUGAAUUGGAUUGGGAUUGGUGUUUGUGUGUCUGUGGGCGCGCGCCCGUGUUGUAAUUUCCAUACUGGGUUUUAUUCCACAUG
Ictidomys tridecemlineatus (thirteen-lined ground squirrel) is the source of this 2514-nucleotide long non-coding RNA. The record is from Ensembl. NCBI's taxonomy places the organism in Eukaryota, Metazoa, Chordata, Mammalia, Rodentia, Sciuridae.